This 500-nucleotide ribosomal RNA is filed under the name uncultured bacterium. RNAcentral describes it as "partial 16S ribosomal RNA". It matches the Rfam family "Bacterial small subunit ribosomal RNA", at positions 28 to 523 of the family's 1533-position model. The record is from RNAcentral.
GAUGAACGCUAGCGGCAGGCCUAAUACAUGCAAGUCGAACGGUAACAUGAGUAGCAAUACUUGAUGACGAGUGGCGCACGGGUGCGUAACGCGUAUGCAAUCUACCUUUAACUGGUGAAUAGCCCGAAGAAAUUCGGAUUAAUACACCAUAGUAUAUUUGAAUGGCAUCAUUUAAAUAUUAAAACUACGGUGGUUAAAGAUGAGCAUGCGUGACAUUAGCUAGUUGGUGAGGUAAUGGCUAACCAAGGCUACGAUGUCUAGGGGAUCUGAGAGGAUUAACCCCCACACUGGUACUGAGACACGGACCAGACUCCUACGGGAGGCAGCAGUAAGGAAUAUUGGACAAUGGUCGAAAGACUGAUCCAGCCAUGCCGCGUGAAGGAUGACGGCCCUAUGGGUUGUAAACUUCUUUUGUAUGGGAAAAAACCCUUCUACGUGUAGAAGGCUGAUGGUACCAUAAGAAUAAGGAUCGGCUAACUCCGUGCCAGCCGCCGCGGUAA